This 56-nucleotide transfer RNA is filed under the name Arum pictum. RNAcentral describes it as "partial tRNA-Leu". The record is from RNAcentral. Lineage: Eukaryota; Viridiplantae; Streptophyta; Magnoliopsida; Alismatales; Araceae.
CGAAAUCAAAAUCCGYCGACUUUAGAAAUCGUGAGGGUUCAAGUCCCUCUAUCCCC